UUUGUUAAAAUUUUCAUUUUGCCAGUGGCAUCAAGAGAGAGGAAGAUUCUUGAUUGCUUUGUAAUUCUUCAUAAUUGUGAAUGAUCAACUCACAGCCCUCAGUAUACCUGCCAAUGAACAAGAAGUUUCCUCAAUUUCCAAGAAUCAAGACUUUGUUUCUAGAUUAAAGGUUUCUUGAUGGUGUAAUGCAACUUUUGCUACUUAUAGUGUCCAUGAUUCAUCUCAAACAUUCUUCAUGGCUCAUGACUCAGCAUUCUUUUAGCUUCUGAAAUUAAAGCUUGGUGAUGUCACUAGUCAAGAGGUAGCCAACCACUUGCUUAUUUCCAUCCUGGUGAGUUUGUCAGACCACAUGGUGGCUUUUUAUUUAAGUCCUCAGAAGGGUUGGUUACCUAAGCUUACAACAUGCUGGAGCAGGCUGAUGAGCUUGGUGCAUUCAGAUUUCUGGGUUCCAGGCUGCACUGCUCUUUUCCCACAAACUGCAGCUACCCAGCAGGAUGAGCUGAAACUGAAAAUAUUCAAGGACGGACAAAGGUUCAAACUGAUGAAACAACCACUCAUGAGUAAUAUGGGCUCCAAGUCUAAUGCCACAAGAUGCCCUCAAGUCCCCUUUCCAGUUAAAUGUCCUGCACACUGAAGUGGGUUUCCUGGAAA
Molecule: long non-coding RNA, 651 nt
Filed under: Mus spicilegus (steppe mouse)
Lineage: Eukaryota; Metazoa; Chordata; Mammalia; Rodentia; Muridae
Description: lncRNA (ENSMSIG00000010176.1)
Source: RNAcentral